CCCGAGGACGCGGGGCUGACCCCGCUGCGGGGCCGGCAGGAGCGGGGCGAAAAGAGAAAAAGGAGGCUCGGCUGCCGGGUCAGCUGCCGCGUAACCGGCUCCACUGAGCCGGGUGGCCCCUGGGUCGUCGGAGGCCCCGACCUGGCUCCCGGAAAGGCGCUGUGUCCGGACCUCACCGAUAUGCCGUCGGUGAUGGAAAGGGCUUUCAUCUGGAUAAGGCUCCGCACUUUACAGACCAUUUCUCCGUUUGUUGUCAUUUGAUAAAACACUUGUAAGAAUGGCAGGAAUCGAUGCAUUUGAAAAAGCAGUCGUGAAAGGAUGACUUUUCAUGCGACACGAGAGCCCCUACCAAUCCAUCCUGCAUUGCAGCCAGUCAUCUAGCACGUGAAUCUCAUGGCACUCCCUGCCUCUAUCUUUUUCAUCACCAAACAGGACAACUUAUAGAGUCACCCAAAUGCACCAUAUUCACAGGCUUUGCAAAUGCUAGUUCCUCUUUCUCACUAUCUCCCCCGUGUUGGCAAAAUAAAUGCCUAUAGAUGAAGAUAAAA
Molecule: long non-coding RNA, 548 nt
Organism: Myotis brandtii (Brandt's bat)
Lineage: Eukaryota; Metazoa; Chordata; Mammalia; Chiroptera; Vespertilionidae
Exons: 2
Source: RefSeq, a predicted model, not a curated record